This 421-nucleotide long non-coding RNA is filed under the name Eutrema salsugineum. RNAcentral describes it as "long non-coding RNA (ESAL_LNC000271)". Lineage: Eukaryota; Viridiplantae; Streptophyta; Magnoliopsida; Brassicales; Brassicaceae. The record is from RNAcentral.
GGGAAGUCUGAGGAAAAGCAUAAGAAGAGAAGAACCCAGGAAGAAGCAAACACAUUGAAAACGAAGCAAAGAUUCAGAAACUUAAAAUGAGCUUGUAGAAUAGAUAUGGAGGGUUCAUCAUCGUCUUCUUCGUCGCCUUCACUGAUGUCCAAAGCGGAUGGCGAGUUGGAGGAAAUGCUCGAUCGGAUGGCGAGUUGGCGAGUCCAAAUCGGAUGGCGAGUUGGCGAAUCCAAAUCGGAUGGCGAGUCGCCUUCACUGAUGUACAAAUCGGAUGCUCGAUCGGAUCGACUCCAAGCUCGAAGCCCCAGUCUCGAAGCUCCCUCCCCUUACCAUAUCAUCUCUCUCCUCCCAAUCUCCCGCUGUUCGCAACAAGGCAAUUUGCUCUUCUACUGAAUUUAGUGUUUGAUGAUUUAAAAUCAAA